Molecule: ribosomal RNA, 470 nt
Filed under: uncultured bacterium
Lineage: Bacteria
Description: bacterial SSU rRNA
Rfam family: Bacterial small subunit ribosomal RNA
Source: RNAcentral
UAGGGAAUAUUGGACAAUGGGGGGAACCCUGAUCCAGCAAUGCCGCGUGUGUGAAGAAGGCCUGAGGGUUGUAAAGCACUUUCAGAGGGGAGGAGGACUAUUAGGUUAAGAGCUAGAUAGUUGGACGUUACCCUCAGAAGCAGCACCGGCUAACUCCGUGCCAGCAGCCGCGGUAAUACGGGGGUGCAAGCGUUAAUCGGAAUUACUGGGCGUAAAGCGUGCGCAGGCGGUUCUAUAAGACAGAUGUGAAAUCCCCGGGCUCAACCUGGGAACUGCAUCCAAAACUGGCAAGCUAGAGUAUGGUAGAGGGUGGUGGAAUUUCCUGUGUAGCGGUGAAAUGCGUAGAUAUAGGAAGAACACCAGUGGCGAAGGCGGCCAACUGGCUCGAUACUGACGCUGAGGUGCGAAAGCGUGGGGAGCAAACAGGAUUAGAUACCCCUGUAGUCCCUGAGCGGGCUGGCAAGGCGCAU